This 268-nucleotide ribosomal RNA is filed under the name uncultured Syntrophaceae bacterium. RNAcentral's name for it is "partial 16S ribosomal RNA". It matches the Rfam family "Bacterial small subunit ribosomal RNA", at positions 1113 to 1382 of the family's 1533-position model. Lineage: Bacteria; Pseudomonadati; Thermodesulfobacteriota; Syntrophia; Syntrophales; Syntrophaceae. The record is from RNAcentral.
AGUUGCCAUCAUUCAGUUGGGCACUCUAGAGGGACUGCCGGUGUCAAACCGGAGGAAGGUGGGGAUGACGUCAAGUCCUCAUGGCCUUUAUGCCCAGGGCUACACACGUGCUACAAUGGGCGGUACAAAGAGCAGCGAGCUCGCGAGAGUAAGCAAAUCUCAAAAAGCCGUCCUCAGUUCGGAUUGGAGUCUGCAACUCGACUCCAUGAAGUUGGAAUCGCUAGUAAUCGCGGAUCAGCAUGCCGCGGUGAAUACGUUCCCGGGCCUU